This 452-nucleotide ribosomal RNA is filed under the name uncultured bacterium. RNAcentral's name for it is "SSU rRNA". It matches the Rfam family "Bacterial small subunit ribosomal RNA", at positions 26 to 518 of the family's 1533-position model. The record is from RNAcentral.
AGGAUGAACGCUGGCGGCGUGCCUAACACAUGCAAGUCGAACGUCCUACGCAAGUAGGGAGUGGCGGACGGGUGAGUACCACGUGGGCAAUCUACCUUUCGGUGAGGAAUACCGGCGAGAAAUCGCCGACAAUACCGCAUACGUUUCGCAAGAAACAAAGGCGCAAGUCGCCUGUGGAGGAGCCUGCGUCCGAUUAGCUAGUUGGUGGGGUAACGGCCUACCAAGGCGACGAUCGGUAGCUGGUCUGAGAGGAUGAUCAGCCACACUGGGACUGAGACACGGCCCAGACUCCUACGGGAGGCAGCAGUGGGGAAUAUUGGACAAUGGGCGCAAGCCUGAUCCAGCAAUGCCGCGUGGGUGAAGAAGGUCUUCGGAUUGUAAAGCCCUUUCGGCGGGACGAUGAUGACGGUACCCGCAGAAGAAGCCCCGGCUAACUUCGUGCCAGCAGCCGC